Molecule: long non-coding RNA, 326 nt
Filed under: Gossypium barbadense (sea-island cotton)
Lineage: Eukaryota; Viridiplantae; Streptophyta; Magnoliopsida; Malvales; Malvaceae
Description: long non-coding RNA (GBAR_LNC017104)
Source: RNAcentral
GGGUUAUUAGUUAAAAUUUUCCUCCUCUUUCUUAACACAUGGGAAAGGAGCAUAUAUGCAGAUGUGCAUGUGUCGCUUUCAUUGCAAGGUAUUGUGAAGUUACAUUAAGAGAUUGACUUUAUGACAUUGAGAAUAUCUUUGUAGGGAAAGGACCUAACAAACCAGUAGCGCAUUCACAACAAUAAAGCUACCAUGUUUCGUUAUUCUUUGUCUCUCAGAUUUUUCAUAUAUUUGUGUUCCAGUGUAUCUGUUAUUGUUUUUAAAUGUAGUUAGAAUCACUCGACCCUUUAAUUAGUGACAAUAUAUAUAUAUAUUCUCCUUUUCUC